RNAcentral lists this long non-coding RNA (404 nucleotides) under Medicago truncatula (barrel medic). Its description in RNAcentral is "long non-coding RNA (MTRU_LNC001223)". Lineage: Eukaryota; Viridiplantae; Streptophyta; Magnoliopsida; Fabales; Fabaceae. The record is from RNAcentral.
CCAUACAUACACACCAAUUUCUCUACUUUACAUUAUUUCAUUACACACGCACCCUAUAGAAGAAUAUAGAUACAUUCAUUCAUUCAUUUGACAUUUCUAUUUUCUGCUUCCCUAUAUAUACUUUAUACAAUACUCGUAAUAAUUAAUUAAUUUAUAGUUGAACAUCAUACAUAAUAUAUAUAUAUACACACACACAUAGAAUCUAACCUCUCAAGUAGUUCCACCAUGACAUCAACCAGUUGCUGCCUCCGUCUUUACCCUACAACUUCAAACGCUUCUCUCAUCCCUAAAAACUCACCUCAACUUUCCUCGUAAGUUUUUAUUUAUUUUUAAUUUAAUGCUUAUUUAUAUUGGAUCACAAUUAAUUAGUAGAUCAUAUGAUCAUGUCUAUUAAGUUGAUUAGU